Molecule: ribosomal RNA, 563 nt
Filed under: uncultured bacterium
Lineage: Bacteria
Description: bacterial SSU rRNA
Rfam family: Bacterial small subunit ribosomal RNA
Source: RNAcentral
ACGGGUGUAGCAAUACAUCCGUGGCGGACGGGUGCGUAACACGUGGAUAACCUUCCUUCAGGUGGGGAAUAACCCAGUGAAAAUUGGGCUAAUACCGCAUAACGAGACGAGGGCACAUGCCCUUGUCUUCAAAGGCGCAAGUCGCCGGAAGAGGGAUCCGCGGCCGAUUAGCUUGUUGGCGGGGUAACGGCCCACCAAGGCAAUGAUCGGUAGCCGGACUGAGAGGUUGGCCGGCCACACUGGAACUGAGACACGGUCCAGACUCCUACGGGAGGCAGCAGUGGGGAAUCUUGCGCAAUGGGCGAAAGCCUGACGCAGCAACGCCGCGUGGGGGAUGAAGCUUCUCGGAGUGUAAACCCCUUUCGACCCGGACGAAUGCCCGCAAGGGCUUGACGGUACGGGUAUAAGAAGCCCCGGCUAACUACGUGCCAGCAGCCGCGGUAAAACGUAGGGGGCCAGCGUUGCUCGGAAUUACUGGGCGUAAAGGGUCCGUAGGCGGUGUGGCAAGUCGGUAGUGAAAACUCUGGGCUUAACCCAGAGACUGCUGCCGAAACUGCUGUGCU